CUGAGGGACAAGACCAGCUUAAUUGUAUCUUACAUGAUGAAGGCUGGAUUCCAUCACUUGAUGCCUGUACGGUUUGGUGGGAGCUGAACGUUCAUUCGGUUGGAAAUGUUUUAGAGCCACUUUUGCAAAAGGAGACCGAUUGAAAAUUGCACUGAGCUGUAGGACAUCUUUCUCUUCUAUCAGACACCUGGGAUGCAGGAGCAAGUUUAUGCCAUCCAUUGCUUUGCUGACUCCUGACAGCGGGUAAGUAGAAGAAAGGAUGAUGUGUGUCAACCUUCUUAUCUCUGAAAUGUAAUUACAACAAGCGUCUUUUUUUUCAACAAUUUACUGCAUGUGCCUCUUUGCACUCUCCACCUCGC
Molecule: long non-coding RNA, 359 nt
Organism: Callorhinchus milii (elephant shark)
Lineage: Eukaryota; Metazoa; Chordata; Chondrichthyes; Chimaeriformes; Callorhinchidae
Exons: 3
Source: RefSeq, a predicted model, not a curated record